UGGUCAGCUCGUGUCGUGAGAUGUUGGGUUAAGUCCCGCAACGAGCGCAACCCUUGCCUUUAGUUGCCAGCAUUAAGUUGGGCACUCUAGAGGGAAAGCCGAGGAUAACUCGGAGGAAGGUGGGGAUGACGUCAAAUCAUCAUGCCCCUUAUGCUUAGGGCUACACACGUGCUACAAUGGGUGGUACAGAGGGUUGCCAAACCGUGAGGUGGAGCUAAUCCCUUAAAGCCAUUCUCAGUUCGGAUUGUAGGCUGAAACUCGCCUACAUGAAGCUGGAGUUACUAGUAAUCGCAGAUCAGAAUGCUGCGGUGAAUGCGUUCCCGGGUCUUGUACACACCGCCCGUCACACCAUGGGAGUUGGGGGCGCCCGAAGCCGGUUAGCUAACCUUUUAGGAGGCAACCGUCGAAGGUGAAACCAAUGACUGGGGUGAAGUCGUAACAAGGUAACCGUA
RNAcentral lists this ribosomal RNA (452 nucleotides) under uncultured bacterium. RNAcentral's name for it is "bacterial SSU rRNA". It matches the Rfam family "Bacterial small subunit ribosomal RNA", at positions 1052 to 1504 of the family's 1533-position model. The record is from RNAcentral.